RNAcentral lists this ribosomal RNA (239 nucleotides) under uncultured bacterium. RNAcentral describes it as "partial 16S ribosomal RNA". It matches the Rfam family "Bacterial small subunit ribosomal RNA", at positions 78 to 334 of the family's 1533-position model. The record is from RNAcentral.
UUGUAAAUGUCGGCGAGCGGCGGACGGCUGAGUAACGCGUGGGAACGUACCCAAAGUGAGGGAUAACGCAUCGAAAGGUGUGCUAAUACCGCAUAUGGUCUUCGGAUUAAAGCCUUCGGGCGCUUUGGGAACGGCCUGCGUAAGAUUAGAUAGUUGGUGGGGUAAUGGCCUACCAAGUCGACGAUCUUUAACUGGUUUGAGAGGAUGAUCAGUCAGACUGGAACUGAGACACGGUCCAG